CUACUCACUUCAGAGGGCUUGCAGACAGUGCUAGCCACACAGCAGGAAACCUGGGCUGUAUUACUGAAAAGAAGCCAACUGACCUUCAUUCUACUUUGCUUGAUUCCUUCUACAAUCUGUUCCAUCUGACGUAAAAACUGGUCCCGGGCAGCUGGGGAGGCCAUGGCUCUGAAAGAAAAAUCAGCAGAGCUGUGUAGAAUGGGGGUGAUGAGGAAGAUGAGAGCACACACACGAGGACUGAGAACAUUUCCAAAGGAUGAGCUGCCAUAGGAAGUACUCACAAAAACACUCUAAGUGCAGUUCUCUCAGUCAUCAGGGAAGAAAGAUGAAAGCACCAUUUUCGGAAAUAUUACAAGGUGAGUCACUAUUUGAAUUAGAAUCUUACCAGUCAGGUUUUCUUUUCUUUCUUUCUUUCUUUCUUUUUUUUUUUUUUUAAAUUAAAAAAGAAGCUUAACAUUCACUCAGAAUCUUCCUAGCUCACAUUUAGAGCCUUCAAAGAGUCCUGUAAUUUAUUAAGAGCUGCGUCCUAAUGUGUCCCUGGUCACCUGUAAAGGCAGAGCAUCUAUCUGUCUAGAGAAAGCAAGCAUGCUAUCCAGGGAGCAAGCUCUGAGGCUGCUUAGACAGCAGAUAGGCCAGUGGACAAGCUUGAGGCCUUUAGGAAUAGGUAGGCCUGGCCAUUCAAUUUUUGGAGACGAAAAAAAUCAUUUUACUACUUAAAUUUUAAAGCACUUCUAUGUGCUCAAGAGCAAAUGGUAUUAAUCUUACCUUAUCAAGACAUAACUAAUGUUCAAAGAGAUUAUAGUAGGUAGGCAGAGUCAAAUUAUUUAAAAGCUAACUUUUUUCCUAAGUUUUUCCGUGGUGUUUUAAAAACUCCCUUCAACGUUUUAUUUUUGUAGGAACUCAGGGAGAGUGUAAAUCAAGAAACAUCUGAAUGUAGAUGAAGUGAAAGUGAAGAAUCAAACACUCAGCAUUAAGUUGUGUAUGUGCCUUUGUUGAUCACAGAUAGCAAUGCUGGCUGGGCUAAAUCCAAAAUACAGGGCAAGUGGGGUAUUUACAGGAAGGAAGACUGACAGU
Molecule: long non-coding RNA, 1074 nt
Organism: Tupaia belangeri chinensis (Chinese tree shrew)
Lineage: Eukaryota; Metazoa; Chordata; Mammalia; Scandentia; Tupaiidae
Exons: 3
Source: RefSeq, a predicted model, not a curated record